RNAcentral lists this ribosomal RNA (418 nucleotides) under alpha proteobacterium SCGC AAA027-E11. RNAcentral describes it as "bacterial SSU rRNA". It matches the Rfam family "Bacterial small subunit ribosomal RNA", at positions 353 to 788 of the family's 1533-position model. The record is from RNAcentral. Lineage: Bacteria; Pseudomonadati; Pseudomonadota; Alphaproteobacteria.
GUGGGUGAAUCUUGCACAAUGGAGGAAACUCUGAUGCAGCGAUGCCGCGUGAGUGAAGAAGGCCUUUGGGUUGUAAAGCUCUUUUGUAGGGGAAGAUAAUGACUGUACCCUAAGAAUAAGGUCCGGCUAACUUCGUGCCAGCAGCCGCGGUAAUACGAAGGGACCUAGCGUAGUUCGGAAUUACUGGGCGUAAAGCGCGCGUAGGCCGUUGAGUUAGUUAAUUGUGAAAUCCCAAAGCUUAACUUUGGAACUGCAAUUAAAACUGCUCGACUAGAGUUUGAUAGAGGAAAGCGGAAUACAUAGUGUAGAGGUGAAAUUCGUAGAUAUUAUGUAGAACACCAGUUGCGAAGGCGGCUUUCUGGAUCAACACUGACGCUGAGGCGCGAAAGUAUGGGUAGCAAAGAGGAUUAGAUACCCC